Molecule: long non-coding RNA, 918 nt
Organism: Stomoxys calcitrans (stable fly)
Lineage: Eukaryota; Metazoa; Arthropoda; Insecta; Diptera; Muscidae
Exons: 2
Source: RefSeq, a predicted model, not a curated record
CUUGAUAAUCCUAAUAUUUUUUGUGUUCUAACGUAUUUGUCAACUUGAAAUUUUUUGUCGUGGAUUAUUGCUUUGUUCAAAGGUUUAAAAACAAAAAAGCGGUUUGCUGUCGGUUUGCUGACAACGCCUGUCAGCAAACAUUAAAUGGCAUGUUUAAGCCAGUCCAAAUGUUUAGUGGUAACACCCCAUAUUCUCCCGAAAAUUAUAUGGACUUUUUGCAAAAACAUCAAUGACAUAUUAAUCUAUUGUUUUUGAUUCGUGAAGAUAUAUUUCUGUAGGACGGCGAAAAUCCAUAUCGUGAGAAGACGAGGCUAUUACUGAAAGGACGCAAGAAGGAGGUCAGUAUAGCUAUUGGUAUCAUAACGGGACACAUAGGACUACGAGCCCACUUAUGUAAAAUCAGUGCGGCAAGUGAUAGCAUAUAUAGGGCAUGCGGGGAAGAUGAUGAGACGUUGGAGCAUUUCCUUUGUCAUUGCCCGGCUUUCGCGUCCAACAAAUACCGGUACUUAGGUGGAGACACAAUAUCGGACAUGAACCAACUUAGGGGAGUGGCAUUGAAAAAAAUUAAGGAUUUUCAUAUAUUUCUGCUGUUUCUACUUACAAAUUUCCCUGAGUGUGGCUAUGUUGGACAAUCUGAAGUAUCUUUCGCAAUUCUUCCUCUAAGUAGUCUUCCAAAUUUUGCUCAAUUAUCGGACUCGGUGCCGUCCGUGCCAGUGAUGGUCUGAGAAAGUGUUCCAUGGAGAUUCUCGAAAACUGAACCUCAUCGAUUAGAUUUUCAGAAAGCUAUUCUACAUAUUGUUUGUGCCGUGUGAAAAACUACAAUAUAUAUUUUGUUUUACAAUUGUAUUACAUUAAGUGAGAAAUUAAUAGUCAAGAAUGUAUUGAGACUACCUUAAUAGACCACCUGUACAUACUAAA